CGGCACCUUCCAAAACCCACAAAGCUUUUUACACAUUCCUUCCUUCUCUCAAAGCAUGUUCUUCUCGGAGCCAGGUUUUUCACUUACACUAUACUCUCUCACUUUUGGGGAGAAGAGUUGCAAGGAAAUCUGAUCUGCAACCCAUCCUGAACUAAGCCCGUAUGGCGAUCCUCACUCCGACUGCAGACCGCUGGGCUCGGGCUCCUCCUCCGGCCUCAGACACUGUCCAGGUCCCAGGCAGGCCUCCGCAGCCCCCCGCCUCCGCUAGAGGAAAAAAGGGGGGAGGGGCCGGAUAGUUUCCAUACCGCUACUCCCACAGAUCACCACUCACUUGUCCCACCAGGCUAUGCAGAGAGCGAAAGAUUUCGCAGAGCACCUCUUGGGAGAGAUUGGGGCUGCAGCUCCGCUCCAGACUCCUGUCACCACUGCUCGAGAGACUAAGCUCAAUGGCAGCAGCCAUGACACCUUCGCAAGCUACCCCCUCCACCACCAACUUGUGCUCGCAAGCCCCCCCUUCCUGCUUUUGUCGCCGGAAGAUGACGUGAAACCACAGCGUCUAAUUUAGAACGGGCCUUUGAGGACCCACCUCUCGUUAUGAUUGACAAGCCGAUGCACCAAUCAGGUGCAACUAUAUCGUCACGCCAAAGACUUGGAGCAGCUGGUACUGGUUAUCACUGCACUUUAUCAAAUAGCAUCCCCAUUUCAAUUGAGAAUGAAGAGGUUCUUGGAUAAAGAACUUGUAAAAAUCAGGUACAAUAAUAAAGUCAUGGAUGAUUCUUGGAAUUUGCUAAAAUGAAAUGCUGCAUCUAAGUGCGAUUUAGCAGAUGUUCUCUCUUCCUACACCAAAGGCAGCAACUUUCAUUGGUGACUACUCACAAAACUUUGUGCCUGGAAGAUGGACAUUUGGCAAGCCAUAAUAGACUGCUCCUUUCCCAGGAUGGAGCAAGGCAGCCAUUUUGACAAUACCCAAGAAAAUGACAUAGUAGUUCUGGACAGGAAUAUUACAAAAGCUCAAUGGAAAUUAAAUAAGAAGAAUUGAAACAAAGAAUUGAUCCCAACCAGGUUUAAGAAGACUCUGGGGACCGUCCUCAUCAUCAUCCUUCAAGCCUUCCCUCCGUUCUCUCAAUCUCAAACCCACAUCUUUCAUCUAGAACAGCUGCCACCCUGGGCUACUGCUGCCAGAAGAAGUGCUCUCUGCUUGCAAAAUUCUCUGUUUGGUUGUCACUGUUUGGCUGUUACCCCACUGCAAAAGAACAACUCAACAAAUGAGUUUAAACUAUUCACUUUUCAAAUAUUAGG
Long non-coding RNA from Lutra lutra (Eurasian river otter), 1299 nucleotides. RefSeq lists it as uncharacterized. Lineage: Eukaryota; Metazoa; Chordata; Mammalia; Carnivora; Mustelidae. The transcript has 6 exons. The record is from RefSeq and is a predicted model, not a curated record.